RNAcentral lists this unclassified non-coding RNA (378 nucleotides) under plant metagenome. Its description in RNAcentral is "partial contains 5.8S ribosomal RNA, internal transcribed spacer 2, and large subunit ribosomal RNA". The stretch from base 1 to 105 matches the Rfam family "5.8S ribosomal RNA", at positions 50 to 154 of the family's 154-position model. The record is from RNAcentral.
GAAAUGCGAUAAGUAAUGUGAAUUGCAGAAUUCAGUGAAUCAUCGAAUCUUUGAGCGCACCUUGCGCUCCUUGGUAUUCCUUGGAGCAUGCCUGUUUGAGUAUCAUGAAAUCUUCAAAGUAAAUCUUUUGUUAACUCAAUUGGUUUCUACUUUGGUGUUGGAGGUCUUUGCAGCUUCACACCUGCUCCUCUUUGUUCAUUAGCUGGAUCUCAGUGUUAUGCUUGGUUCCACUCGGCGUGAUAAGUUAUCUAUCGCUGAGGACACUGUAAAAGGUGGCCAAGGUAAAUGCAGAUGAACCGCUUCUAAUAGUCCAUUGACUUGGACAAUACUUUUAUGAUCUGAUCUCAAAUCAGGUAGGACUACCCGCUGAACUUAAGC